Lemur catta (Ring-tailed lemur) is the source of this 104-nucleotide small nucleolar RNA. RefSeq annotates it as small nucleolar RNA U13. The transcript has a single exon. Lineage: Eukaryota; Metazoa; Chordata; Mammalia; Primates; Lemuridae. The record is from RefSeq and is a predicted model, not a curated record.
AUCGUUUUGUAGUUCAUAAGUGUGAUAAUUGAGUUUUCACUCACCAAUGAGAGAUGUGCCCACCUCAAACCUUGUCACAAUGUCAGCACAUUACUUGUCUGAAG